RNAcentral lists this ribosomal RNA (892 nucleotides) under Triticum aestivum (bread wheat). RNAcentral describes it as "partial small subunit ribosomal RNA". The record is from RNAcentral. Lineage: Eukaryota; Viridiplantae; Streptophyta; Magnoliopsida; Poales; Poaceae.
AUGAAGACCUUCCUCGUCUUUGCCCUCCUCACCGUUGUGGCGACAAGUACCAUUGCGCAGAUGGAGACUAGCUGCAUCCCUGGUUUGGAGAGACCAUGGCAGCAGCAACCAUUACCACCACAACAGACAUUAUUUCCACAACAACAACCAUUUCCACAACAACAACCACCAUUUUCACAACAACAACCAUCAUUUUCGCAACAACAACCACCAUUUUCGCAGCAACAACCAAUUCUACCGCAGCCACCAUUUUCACUGCAACAACAACCAGUUCUACCGCAACAAUCACCUUUUUCGCAGCAACAACUAGUUUUACCUCCACAACAACAAUACCAACAGCUUCUGCAACAACAAAUCCCUAUUGUUCAGCCAUCCGUUUUGCAGCAGCUAAACCCAUGCAAGGUAUUCCUCCAGCAGCAGUGUGCCACAACGUCUUGCUAGGUCGCAAAUGUGGCAGCAGAGCAGUUGCCAUGUGAUGCAGCAACAAUGUUGCCAGCAGUUGCCGCAAAUCCCCGAACAAUCUCGCUAUGAUGCAAUCCGUGCCAUCACCUACUCCAUCAUCUUACAAGAACAACAACAGGGUUUUGUCCAAGCUCAGCAGCAACAACCCCAACAGUUGGGUCAAGGUGUCUCCCAAUCCCAACAACAAUCGCAGCAGCAGCUCGGACAAUGUUCUUUCCAACAACCUCAACAGCAACUGGGUCAACAGCCUCAACAACAACAGAUACUACAGGGUACCUUUUUGCAGCCACACCAGAUAGCUCACCUUGAGGUGAUGACUUCCAUUGCACUCCGUACCCUGCCAACGAUGUGCAGUGUCAAUGUGCCGUUGUACAGCUCCACCACUAGUGUGCCAUUCAGUGUUGGCACCGGAGUUGGUGCCUACUUAUAA